GGAAGGCUCCACCCCCUCGUAUUACUGUCAAAGAUGGACGCGCGGCAUGAACAGAUCAAAGAGACAGACGGGCCACAACUGGUCAUUUCAGCGGUAUUUACAUAUUGUCCCCUGGUAGACUGGUUGAUCUGCUACACUCAUAGGAUCGCAAAAUGUACUACGAAAUAUAGGGGACAAAAGCUUUUCAUAUUGUGGGCAACUUUUCACAUCGUUCAAUCAACCAGCCAGGUACAUGUACUCCCAGAUAUUUCAUGUCGUUUAGCCAAUAUGUAAAGAAUUUUAUGAACUCUAUCAGUGCUGCGACUUUAUAAACACAUCAACAGGGAUUGUGUUUCGGCAAUGUUUUCAGUAAACAUGACUUUACAAGAGUGCAGAGUAGAGAGUAUGGUUCGGCUUCAAUGAACACAUCUAGCAGGAAGUCAUCCUUUGUGCGUAUUACAGUGACCCUGGCACACAAAGGUAUCUACCCCGGUUAAAUCCCGUGGAGAAACAAUGGGUUAAGGGAAAGGUGGGUUGUAUACCUGGAGGCACCUGGGGAUAGUAUAACACACACUCCCCACACCUGCCUUCUCAGGUAUGCUGUUGGUAAUUACCUGUUUUGUUGGGCUUAAGACAUAGUCUGGUCCCUGUCACUGCUACCCCUGACAAUACACAGAAGGUGUGACUAUACGAGUACGAACACAGAACAACAUAGCUGAGAUUAGUCACAUUACAUGCCUAGCCAGGCACAACCAAAGUCACCUCAAUCCUUCCUCACUCUCUUUCACAUGGCUUCCAGGUUUCCAGAGCUGAGUAUAGACUCAUGGAGGACAGCAAUGUUUGAUUGUCUCCAAUCUAAGACUACAGCAGCCACAGAACAAUAGAAAACUAAGGGAAUCUACCAAAGGACAAUGGAAUUCACAAGAGGAGCUCAGGUGGAAGGAAAUUCAUUCUGCAAGUGGUGCGUGUCGUGCAUGGCCGGCGGCUCCUGCCGAGAGUGUGUCUGGAAGUAAACCACGCACGCCCUGGCCAAUGUCACCUCAAAGUGGACUGGAUCCAGUUUUAUAUCAUUGCCUUUUGUCGCCGUGCGGAGAAAAAGUCCACACCCCGCUGCUGAACCCUGCAGAAGUUUUUCUUCACGACACCCGCGCGGGAGGGUCCCGACUUCUCCCGGGAUGAACUCGCUCGCCGCUGCGCGGUCCAAGUGCUCCCGCACCCGGUCAGCCACCCUUUCAGUCGGACUAUCCUCACAAGAACCUACCGGGCAAUAAAUCUAAACGCGAAGGUUCUGGAUCGCGUGAUCCCAGCCACAUUGGCUUCGGUACAAUCAAGUCAGCCGCUUUCCCCCGGCUUUCCCGUGUGCGUGACUUGCAAGUGGACAACAAAGCCACAAUCAACACACAAGCCAUCAACUUCCCACCUUCGUCCUCUCAUACCUGCAACAUCAAAGGACGCCGCCUCCGUGUCGGUAUCACUCUCCCUCACCUGACAUUAGGUGGGUGGAUGUGGCGUCAAUGCGUCUUGAUCUUCGUGUCGUCCAAUAUUUCAGCAUUAUUAAUUGAUAAGGUAGUUUAGAAAGUAGGGCUAGGCACAGCGGGAAGGGG
Long non-coding RNA from Branchiostoma floridae (Florida lancelet), 1583 nucleotides. RefSeq lists it as uncharacterized. Lineage: Eukaryota; Metazoa; Chordata; Leptocardii; Amphioxiformes; Branchiostomatidae. The transcript is spliced from 3 exons. The record is from RefSeq and is a predicted model, not a curated record.